UUGAACGCUGGCGGCAUGCCUUACACAUGCAAGUCGAACGGUAACAGGUCUUCGGAUGCUGACGAGUGGCGACCGGGUGAGUAAUACAUCGGAACGUGCCCGAUCGUGGGGGAUAACGAGGCGAAAGCUUUGCUAAUACCGCAUACGAUCUACGGAUGAAAGCGGGGGAUCUUCGGACCUCGCGCGGACGGAGCGGCCGAUGGCAGAUUAGGUAGUUGGUGGGAUAAAAGCUUACCAAGCCGACGAUCUGUAGCUGGUCUGAGAGGAUGAUCAGCCACACUGGGACUGAGACACGGCCCAGACUCCUACGGGAGGCAGCAGUGGGGAAUUUUGGACAAUGGGCGAAAGCCUGAUCCAGCCAUGCCGCGUGCAGGAUGAAGGCCUUUGGGUUGUAAACUGCUUUUGUACGGAACGAAAAGCCUCUUUCUAAUAAAGAGGGGUCAUGACGGUACCGUAAGAAUAAGCACCGGCUAACUACGUG
Molecule: ribosomal RNA, 481 nt
Filed under: uncultured bacterium
Lineage: Bacteria
Description: partial 16S ribosomal RNA
Rfam family: Bacterial small subunit ribosomal RNA
Source: RNAcentral